GCUUAGGAGACCAAAACCAAACUCAAAGACCAUGACCACACUAAUAUCCGCUGGUGUGGUUAUUAUGCAAUGAAAACUACAAAUACAUAUGGACCAAAAGCCUACUAAAACUUGAAGAAAAUAAUAAAUUAAAGAAAUUCCAAGCUUUACCAUAAACAGCUGUAACUUAAAUCUUAAAUCCCUUGGACACACUUUACAGGAGGAAGUCAAUGGGAUGAAGCCAGAGCAGAAGAUGACUGAGCAGAAAUUAACAAAGUACAUCAGUCCCAGCAUGUCCUUGAGGAGUACCUGGAACAACUAAUCUCGGGAGUCUGUGCUUCCUCUAGAGUACCAGUCAUUUGGAAAGUUAUGUGUGUUACCCUUGGCACUGGAUGAUUGCAACAGUAAGUGGCAACUGGGAUAUUUCUCCAGAGCUUCUACAACAACAAAUUGAGAGUUUCACAAGCACCUGGGGCCCAGCAGACGUUGGGAAGCCUAUUCUGGGACUCGCCUCCAUCUAAAUGAUUUGAAAAUUCAGCUCCUGAACACAGCCAGAUUGCUGUCAGCAAUUCGAAUAAGUUUUAACAACACUGGAUCCACCUCAAGGUUAUUUCUUCAAUAUCAUACAGAAAAUAUUGUAAAUGAAGGAAAUAUGAUGCAAAGUGGUA
This 647-nucleotide long non-coding RNA is filed under the name Homo sapiens (human). RNAcentral describes it as "long intergenic non-protein coding RNA 2039". Lineage: Eukaryota; Metazoa; Chordata; Mammalia; Primates; Hominidae. The record is from RNAcentral.